RNAcentral lists this ribosomal RNA (450 nucleotides) under uncultured bacterium. Its description in RNAcentral is "partial 16S ribosomal RNA". It matches the Rfam family "Bacterial small subunit ribosomal RNA", at positions 354 to 796 of the family's 1533-position model. The record is from RNAcentral.
GUGGGGAAUAUUGGACAAUGGGCGAAAGCCUGAUCCAGCCAUGCCGCGUGUGUGAAGAAGGUCUUCGGAUUGUAAAGCACUUUAAGUUGGGAGGAAGGGCAGUAAGUUAAUACCUUGCUGUUUUGACGUUACCAACAGAAUAAGCACCGGCUAACUUCGUGCCAGCAGCCGCGGUAAUACGAAGGGUGCAAGCGUUAUUCGGAAUCACUGGGCGUAAAGCGUGCGUAGGCGGUUUUGUAAGUUGGAGGUGAAAUCCCCGGGCUCAACCUGGGAACUGCCUCCAAAACUGCAUGACUAGAGUACGGUAGAGGGUAGUGGAAUUUCCUGUGUAGCGGUGAAAUGCGUAGAUAUAGGAAGGAACACCAGUGGCGAAGGCGACUACCUGGACUGAUACUGACACUGAGGUGCGAAAGCGUGGGGAGCAAACAGGAUUAGAAACCCGGGUAGUCC